RNAcentral lists this long non-coding RNA (1105 nucleotides) under Gadus morhua (Atlantic cod). RNAcentral describes it as "lncRNA (ENSGMOG00000023448.1)". The record is from RNAcentral. Lineage: Eukaryota; Metazoa; Chordata; Actinopteri; Gadiformes; Gadidae.
AGUUUGUUUUCGUCGUCCUCCAUCGCUCGAUUCAACAAUACAUUUUGGCACUUUUUACUCCCGGAUCAGACCGCAGAAAAAGCCUUGGACUUUCCUAUCGCCAACAUGCCUCUGUACUCGGAUAUCUCAGGCACGGAGACUGGGAAAUGCACAGACUGCACCAAACUGCAACAGACGGUGGCUUUAAUUGAAACGAGACUAGCAGCAUUAGAAAAAUGCAAAUGACUCCUACAGGAUACAGUGCCGAUGGGUGAGUUUGCUGAGCUCACUCAGAUACAGCAAGAUGAUCAAAGCUACACUGUAUCCUUCCCGAAGCUGGACAAGAGAGAGACAGUUCCAGCUGCGUCUCACUGGCACAGAGUCAGCGCUAAGCCAAAACAACAUACCAAAGUGAAUCAACAAGAUCACUCAACGCCAAAUGCUAAACUACCCAAAGCUAAAGUUACAUGUAUCAGACGGAUUAGCCCGUCACUGAAAUUAACCCUGCCACUGAAGAACCGGUUCCUGCCACUUCAAGAGUCCACGAACGAGCCUGCCACCCAUGCACCCCUGAGCCCCGAGAUGCGUCCGGACGGACAGUGCGGACAGAGACGGAACAUGAACCAGUCGCCAUGGAGGCGAGCUGCGCAUGCCUCGGCCACCUGUGCACCCCUGACCCCUGAAAUGUGUCCGGACAGACGGUACGGACAGACAUGGAACAACCAGUCGCCACGGAGGCGGGCUGCGCAUGUGUCUGCCACCGUCCAACAAGGGCCCAUCUCAGAGGAAGCAGAUGAACCAGACACUCUGAUUAUAGGAGACUCAACCAUCAAGGAUAUAACCGGUAAGAAGAUCAAAACAUGCAACUUCCCAUAUGGAAUGGUUAGUGAUAUCAACCAUAAACUAGCCAAAAUCAUAUUGGAAAACCCCAAAAUCUCACAGAUUAUUGUGCAUGCAGGAUUUAAUGAUAUUCAAAGAGAACAGUCAGAACUUCUGAAGAGGGUUUACACUGAUCUAUUGGAUACACUGGACAAAAUACACAUCAACUCAUUCAUCAGUGGACCCAUACCAGCAGUUGACAGGGGAAUAAACAGUUUCAGUCGUCUACUUGCACUGAAUACAUGGC